AGAUUGAACGCUGGCGGCAGGCCUAACACAUGCAAGUCGAGCGGUAGAGAGGUGCUUGCACCUCUUGAGAGCGGCGGACGGGUGAGUAAAGCCUAGGAAUCUGCCUGGUAGUGGGGGAUAACGCUCGGAAACGGACGCUAAUACCGCAUACGUCCUACGGGAGAAAGCAGGGGACCUUCGGGCCUUGCGCUAUCAGAUGAGCCUAGGUCGGAUUAGCUAGUUGGUGAGGUAAUGGCUCACCAAGGCGACGAUCCGUAACUGGUCUGAGAGGAUGAUCAGUCACACUGGAACUGAGACACGGUCCAGACUCCCACGGGAGGCAGCAGUGGGGAAUAUUGGACAAUGGGCGAAAGCCUGAUCCAGCCAUGCCGCGUGUGUGAAGAAGGUCUUCGGAUUGUAAAGCAACUUUAAGUUGGGAAGUAAGGCUAUUAACCUAAUACGUUAGUGUUUUAGACGUUACCGACAGAAUAAGCAACCGGCUAACUCUGUGCCAGCA
This 496-nucleotide ribosomal RNA is filed under the name uncultured soil bacterium. RNAcentral describes it as "bacterial SSU rRNA". It matches the Rfam family "Bacterial small subunit ribosomal RNA", at positions 26 to 513 of the family's 1533-position model. The record is from RNAcentral.